This 207-nucleotide ribosomal RNA is filed under the name uncultured bacterium. RNAcentral's name for it is "partial 16S ribosomal RNA". It matches the Rfam family "Bacterial small subunit ribosomal RNA", at positions 524 to 729 of the family's 1533-position model. The record is from RNAcentral.
UACGUAGGGUGCAAGUGUUAAUCGGAAUUACUGGGCGUAAAGCGUGCGCAGGCGGUUUUGUAAGUUUGUCGUGAAAUCCCCGGGCUCAACCUGGGAAUGGCGAUGAAGACUGCAAGGCUAGAAUCUGGCAGAGGGGGGGUAGAAUUCCACGUGUAGCAGUGAAAUGCGUAGAGAUGUGGAGGAACACCGAUGGCGAAGGCAGCCCCC